RNAcentral lists this ribosomal RNA (52 nucleotides) under uncultured bacterium. RNAcentral's name for it is "partial 16S ribosomal RNA". The record is from RNAcentral.
ACCAACCGAAAGGGGCGCGACCGCCGUAGGAAGUAAGUUCAUGAUUGGGGUG